UCACUUCGGUGAGUGGAAAGUGGCGGACGGGUGAGUAAUGUGUAGAGAAUCUGCCCUUGAGUGGGGGACAACAGCUGGAAACGACUGCUAAUACCGCAUAAGCGCACAGCUUCGCAUGAAGCAGUGUGAAAAACUCCGGUGGUACAAGAUGGACCCGCGUCUGAUUAGCUAGUUGGUGAGGUAACGGCUCACCAAGGCGACGAUCAGUAGCCGUACUGAGAGGUAGAACGGCCACAUUGGGACUGAGACACGGCCCAAACUCC
RNAcentral lists this ribosomal RNA (263 nucleotides) under uncultured Lachnospiraceae bacterium. Its description in RNAcentral is "partial 16S ribosomal RNA". It matches the Rfam family "Bacterial small subunit ribosomal RNA", at positions 75 to 339 of the family's 1533-position model. Lineage: Bacteria; Bacillati; Bacillota; Clostridia; Lachnospirales; Lachnospiraceae. The record is from RNAcentral.